RNAcentral lists this ribosomal RNA (252 nucleotides) under uncultured eukaryote. RNAcentral describes it as "partial small subunit ribosomal RNA". It matches the Rfam family "Eukaryotic small subunit ribosomal RNA", at positions 587 to 838 of the family's 1831-position model. The record is from RNAcentral.
AGCUCCAAUAGCGUAUAUUAAUGUUGUUGCAGUUAAAAAGCUCGUAGUUGGAUUUCUGGUGGGCGCGACCGGUCCGCCCCGCGAGGGGUGAGCACUGGCGUCGUCGUCCGCCAUCCUUAGGGAGAGCGCGUCUGGCAUUCAGUUGUCGGGCGUGGGAUCCCUAUCGUUUACUGUGAGAAAAUUAGAGUGUUCAAAGCAGGCUUACGCCUUGAAUACAUUAGCAUGGAAUAAUAGUCGAGGCUCUUGGUCUGA